UGUACACACCGCCCGUCGCUACUACCGAUUGAAUGGUUCAGUGAGGCUUUCGGACUGGCCCAGGGAGGUCGGCAACGACCACCCAGGGCCGGAAAGUUAUCCAAACUCGAUCAUUUAGAGGAAGUAAAAGUCGUAACAAGGUCUCCGUUGGUGAACCAGCGGAGGGAUCAUUGCUGGAACGCGCUUCGGCGCACCCAGAAACCCUUUGUGAACUUAUACCUAUUGUUGCCUCGGCGCAGGCCGGCCUCUUCACUGAGGCCCCCUGGAAACAGGGAGCAGCCCGCCGGCGGCCAACCAAACUCUUGUUUCUACAGUGAAUCUCUGAGUAAAAAACAUAAAUGAAUCAAAACUUUCAACAACGGAUCUCUUGGUUCUGGCAUCGAUGAAGAACGCAGCGAAAUGCGAUAAGUAAUGUGAAUUGCAGAAUUCAGUGAAUCAUCGAAUCUUUGAACGCACAUUGCGCCCUCUGGUAUUCCGGAGGGCAUGCCUGUUCGAGCGUCAUUUCAACCCUCAAGCCUGGCUUGGUGAUGGGGCACUGCCUGUAAUAGGGCAGGCCCUGAAAUCUAGUGGCGAGCUCGCCAGGACCCCGAGCGUAGUAGUUAUAUCUCGCUCUGGAAGGCCCUGGCGGUGCCCUGCCGUUAAACCCCCAACUUCUGAAAAUUUGAC
Molecule: ribosomal RNA, 666 nt
Filed under: Diaporthe masirevicii
Lineage: Eukaryota; Fungi; Ascomycota; Sordariomycetes; Diaporthales; Diaporthaceae
Description: eukaryotic LSU rRNA
Rfam family: 5.8S ribosomal RNA (bases 348-501)
Source: RNAcentral